Molecule: non-coding RNA, 505 nt
Organism: Onthophagus taurus
Lineage: Eukaryota; Metazoa; Arthropoda; Insecta; Coleoptera; Scarabaeidae
Source: RefSeq, a predicted model, not a curated record
CUUAUUCCCCGUUACGUGAGUGAAAUAGACGUAAGUCCUGUCAUUCGCAAUAUCACCUUAAAAUUUAUAAUUGAGCAAAAAUAUUAACUCUCUAAAAUGCAAUCGAACCGAUUAUUCGCCCAUAUUAUCCGGAGACACGUUUCGAAACGAAAUUAUUCCGGUAAUGAGAUAAAAGCCUCAUAUAACGAUUUGCCAUCACCACAGGGAAGCUGGAAAACCCAUCAUGAUGCUAUGCAAAGAAAAUACAACAUGCACUUGAUUUUUGGAGUUGGAUUUCUUGUUGGGACGAUUAUUUUCGCUCGUGCUGCUGGUUUCUUGAACUUAAAUUACGCCCCCCCAGCAAAACCCGCUGAAUAAGUGAAUUUUAAGAUUUAAUGUUUCCAGUAGUGUGAAUAAAUAAUAAAUAAAUUAUUAGGUUAUAAUAUUUUUAUUGUUUUUACUUUGAGUAUAUGAUUAUAUUGAUAUAAAGAAAAAAAAAUUACAUUAAAUACAUAUGUUAGCAUGA